AAACAGAUGCAAACCGAACUAUGAAGAACACUGCCGUCGUGCUUGCGGCGCUUCUGCUUUUUUCAGCGAUGGUGGUAAACUCCCAGAGGUUUCCGGGAGGUGGCAUAGUUAACAGAGUUCGUCAACGUAUAUGUAACGGCCGAUUUUGCCGUUAUGGUGAGCGUUGCAUCGAGACAACAUUUCCGUGCCGAAGGCCUCCAUGCUUGAGGAGGUUUCGAUGUAUUUGAAUCCAGACGGUGGCCUCUUCUGUGGUGAAUGUCGUUAUGCCACGCAGCCACGCAAUAGAACACGGGUAGAAUAAAUAAACUUCAUGAUGCAACGCCUCUACCAGCAGCAUGACCAAUGUUUUAGGACGUGUGGUCGCGUAGCACCAUCGCUCUUCGGUGACAGCGGUGGCCGGCCAUAACUGAAUGGGUAAUAUGCGUAAAAACUAAUAUCUGACCAAAAAUGUUAGAUACGAAAGAUAGUUCCCGGUUCUACAAAGGAGAGACUUGUCUGAACGGUCUGGUGAAACUACAGCUUCGCCGAACGCACCGCAUGGCUUGCCACAGCGUACUGCUUUACAAUGGGGUCCCAUGUAUUUUAAAUGAUCUGCAUUCAAUUGUGCUUGGAAGUCACCUGUAUACUUUUCAGUGCGAUACUUUAAUAAUUUUAAAAUGUUCCAGUGGGUUUCUUCUAUAUAACUGGGAGUCGUUUUUGGUGAGUAGCUUUUUUCAUCGGAUAUGGAUUUAUUUCGCCCACGGCCCAUUAAGCUAUGGCCCGACGGCGUUGUGGCCGUCGAUAGAUGGUGCCACGUACAGAUGUUGUUAAAUAUUUGAAAUAAAA
Long non-coding RNA from Rhipicephalus microplus (southern cattle tick), 825 nucleotides. NCBI's taxonomy places the organism in Eukaryota, Metazoa, Arthropoda, Arachnida, Ixodida, Ixodidae. The record is from RefSeq and is a predicted model, not a curated record.